GACGAACGCUGGCGGCGUGCUUAACACAUGCAAGUCGAACGGAAAGGCCCUGCUUUUGUGGGGUGCUCGAGUGGCGAACGGGUGAGUAACACGUGAGUAACCUGCCCUUGACUUUGGGAUAACUUCGGGAAACUGGGGCUAAUACCGGAUAGGAGCUCCUGCUGCAUGGUGGGGGUUGGAAAGUUUCGGCGGUUGGGGAUGGACUCGCGGCUUAUCAGCAUGUUGGUGGGGUAGUGGCUUACCAAGGCUUUGACGGGUAGCCGGCCUGAGAGGGUGACCGGCCACAUUGGGACUGAGAUACGGCCCAGACUCCUACGGGAGGCAGCAGUGGGGAAUAUUGCACAAUGGGCGGAAGCCUGAUGCAGCAACGCCGCGUGCGGGAUGACGGCCUUCGGGUUGUAAACCGCUUUCGCCUGUGACGAAGCGUGAGUGACGGUAAUGGGUAAAGAAGCACCGGCUAACUACGUG
RNAcentral lists this ribosomal RNA (468 nucleotides) under uncultured bacterium. RNAcentral's name for it is "partial 16S ribosomal RNA". It matches the Rfam family "Bacterial small subunit ribosomal RNA", at positions 28 to 507 of the family's 1533-position model. The record is from RNAcentral.